UCCACCUGUUCAUAGCCCAUCUUUCUUGCAGCUGCUGAGAUUCAAAGGCAAGCGACAAGAAUCAGAUAUUCAAAACCUUCCAGGCUCCUGUUUGCAGCGUCUGUUUUUAUCUGAGCGGGAGACUUCUCCAGCAGACUCUUCCCCACACCUGCUUCCAAGCUCCUGCUUUCCUCAGGCCCUUUCCUGCCUGUUCUGUUCCAGAGUUCCUCCACAACAGACCUGCAGCCUUCCCAAGGCUCAACCAUGCUCCUGGCGCUCCUCCCAGUGCUGGGGUUACACUUUCUUCUGAGAGAAGCCCAAGCUCAGUCAGUGACUCAGCCUGAUGCUCUUGUCACUGUCUCCGAAGAAGCCUCUCUGCAGCUGAGAUGCAAGUAUUCCUACACUGGGGCACCUUACCUGUUCUGGUAUGUGCAGUACCCACGACAAGGGCUGCAGCUGCUCCUCAAGUACUAUUCAGGAGAAUCAGUGGUUCAAGGAGUGAAUGGCUUCGAGGCUACGUUCAACAAGAGUGACUCUUCCUUCCACCUGCAGAAAGCCUCUGCACACUGGCGCGACUCGGCUGUGUACUUCUGUGCUGUGAGCGCACAGUGUGUGGAGCUGCAGGGGGAGCAGAACACAAACACCCACUCAGCGGGUGCUCAGACUCAGGAUUUCUCUCCUCGAGGUCUUCUAAGUAUUUCUUUGGACUCGGUGAAGAGAGAAGGAAAGUUGAGCAGUCCCAACUGUCUUUGCACAGCUCAUUUCUACUUAAAAUAUCCACUGUCUGACUUUGUCUCAGAAAUCCUUUGCAUAUUUUCAAAAUUAUUUAAUGCUCAAUCAUAAUUCUUUAGAUUGAAGGAGACAGUGUUAUUAUCCAUGAGAACAAUUGUCUGAAUGGCCAUUGCUUGGACAGUGACUAGACUAAAGAGCUGAUGGGGAAAUACCAGAAGUUGGAAUUUCAUUUGUCAUUUUAUAUUUUGUCUCUACAGAAAUGAAAAGUCUGCUCUUCAGUUUUUUUGUCCUAAAAUUUGUGUUCUUUACUUAAUCUUUCAUGCUGAAUUUCCUGUAUAUACUUCUUUUGAUGCUAAAUGUACUGAUGAGAAUUGGUCUUAAUGUUUAAGCACUUCCAUUUAGGAACCAAUUUGUUACAUUGUUAGCUAUUAUAGAAAUUUACCAGAAUCAGGAAAUCUUAGAAAUCUGUCAUAAUUAUGUCAGCUCUCACAACCACUAAAAAU
Molecule: non-coding RNA, 1214 nt
Organism: Apodemus sylvaticus (European woodmouse)
Lineage: Eukaryota; Metazoa; Chordata; Mammalia; Rodentia; Muridae
Source: the annotation of a RefSeq genome assembly